This 1188-nucleotide long non-coding RNA is filed under the name Serinus canaria (Common canary). Its description in RNAcentral is "lncRNA (ENSSCAG00000004863.1)". The record is from RNAcentral. Lineage: Eukaryota; Metazoa; Chordata; Aves; Passeriformes; Fringillidae.
UGUUGAUUAAAAUCAGACAGUGAAGUUUAAUGGGCUGGUGGGUUAUUUUUAUAAAUCUAUGGCAGAUCAAACAACUACAAUUAAACCCAAAUGGGUAUAUGUGUACAUACAUACAUAAAGCCAGUUUAAAUAAAUACAAAAUUGCAAAUAUACCAUUAAUUUAUAUGUACAGAAGGCUGUAGCUUGGCCCUCUGGGAUCCUAACAUUCUCUUUUAUUAACUUUUUUACCACAUGAGAAGUCUAUUUUAUAUGCAAGCACUAAUACAUGAAUCUGUAAAUACUACCAAUAUUUAAUUUUCUACAAAAUCCAUCAAGUCAGGACAGCCUUGGUUAGAUUGGGCAUGUCACUGAAGUAUGCAACACAGACUUUAAAAAUAAUCCCCAUUUUUUCAAAAACAGUACAUUUAAGAAAUACUUGACCUGUGCAGCCACAGACUCCAUAAAUAGUUUUGUGGAUAAUAUAUUAUCCACAAAAUAAGUUAAUACUAAAUAAUUAGUAUUGUGCAACCAAACCCACAACACCCACAGGUUUCAAAGUGCUUAGCAAGACAAUAGAAAUUAUGGUUCCCAUUUUACAAUGGGAACAGAUGAAACAAAAAACUCAGGUGGCUUGUCUGAGAACAUACUGAAAAUCAUUGUCACAAAUGUGGAAAAAUGCCUGAGAAUCCUGACUCUCAAACCAGUCUUGAGCCACGAAUUACUUCACUGACUAAAUUUAUAAACAAAAUCUGAGACUAAAAAGCAGCUCGGUCCUUUCAGCUCAAAUAAGGAACAAAGAUUUCUCAUUGAUAUGAGAUAUGGUCAUUACAGCAAUCUGUAGAUCACUAAGACCAGAUACAGAUAUCCCAAAGUCACUCAUGGGGAAAGGUCCCUUAAUAAAAGACAGGUGGCCAGAAAGAAGACAGUGGCACGGAGAAAGCUAAACCCCAGAAUCCACUGGAACCACCAAAACUGAACUUGUGGCAGGGCAGCACUCCAGGGAAACCCCCAAAAUGCCAGCAGCAUUUCUGAGCUGCAGAAGUUUCUGCAGAGACCCCUGCACUUACAAACACUUCCCUCAUGCCGGAGUGUGGGAAGCCCGGCUGCGAGAAGGCUCCCGAGCCAUUUCACUCCUCGGAGGCCUGGCAGGGCCAUGGCAGGCAGAGGCUGUAGGAAAACUCUUGCUCCACAGCUGAGCCAGGGCCCUUU